UACGUAGGGGGCGAGCGUUAUCCGGAAUUAUUGGGCGUAAAGAGCGUGUAGGCGGUUCGGUAAGUCUACUGUGAAAUCCUGGGGCUCAACCCUGGGCGUGCGGCGGAGACUGCCGGGCUAGAGGAUGGUAGAGGCGAGUGGAAUUCCGAGUGUAGCGGUGAAAUGCGCAGAUAUUCGGAGGAUCACCAGUAGCGAAGGCGGCUCGCUGGGCCAUACCUGACGCUGAGGCGCGAAAGCGUGGGGAGCGAACAGG
RNAcentral lists this ribosomal RNA (253 nucleotides) under uncultured bacterium. RNAcentral's name for it is "partial 16S ribosomal RNA". It matches the Rfam family "Bacterial small subunit ribosomal RNA", at positions 524 to 776 of the family's 1533-position model. The record is from RNAcentral.